Molecule: non-coding RNA, 29 nt
Filed under: Mus musculus (house mouse)
Lineage: Eukaryota; Metazoa; Chordata; Mammalia; Rodentia; Muridae
Source: RNAcentral
UAAACCUCUUGCGCUUUGCAUCGAUCUUC